Long non-coding RNA from Hemicordylus capensis (graceful crag lizard), 6312 nucleotides. RefSeq lists it as uncharacterized. The transcript has 3 exons. The record is from RefSeq and is a predicted model, not a curated record. Lineage: Eukaryota; Metazoa; Chordata; Lepidosauria; Squamata; Cordylidae.
UGGGUGAGUGUCGACUAGAGGUCGCGUUGAACUGGGCCCGGAUCAAGGGCGAGCCCUCAAGCCAGCCCAGUUCGAUGGUGAAGUGGCUCGACUGCAAGCAAGUCCACACAUCCCUAUUUGGGGGGGGCAACUUCAAACUCUCAGUACAGCCUCGUAGUAAACUCACGAUGCUUCCUACAGACCAACUUUUCGCUGUCUGCCUGAGUUUUCUGACUUCCCUAGUCCAAUUGCUUGUGGCUUGACAUAAGCAGAAAAUACAAGUCAAAGCAGCAAUGAACAAAACCCUUCACAUGCUUAAGGUACUUUCUUCUCUAGUGGAAUAUAUGGUGGGAGGAUGACUGUUUCUGUAAGGUCUGACUUCCUGGUUGUCUCAGGUUCUAAUGUAGUCAUCUGUAUACUAAGAGGGGUGCAUCUGCUUCCCACCCUCCUUCCCCAUUCUUAGUUUUUCCAAAUGAAGUUUUGCUGGAGUUCAUGAUGGCCCGUAUAUGAAGCUUGAAUAUAAUACUCUUCUGCAAUAGUGCUGUCAGAUUCUCAGUUGUGAGAGUUUUCUCAAAUGCUUUUUGGCUUCUAAAUGUCAUGGAAUGUGGCUGUAGGAGACAAAACAUGUGCAUGGACAAGGGAAAUGCCCAGGAGCUUUUCCAGACUGCCAGCUGUACUGUGGGAGGAAGUGACUUAAGCUAGGACGAGUUAGGUUAGGGUGAGAGUAUAUAAAGUGCAUAUAGAUCUGCAUAUAAGCAUAAAUUGGAGUACACAUUUCUGCACCUUCCCUGCCUCCUGCUCCACCUCCUCCUUCUGCCCACCUUGUGCUGCGGUGAGCAGGUAGAUUGGUUAUUUUUACUCGUGCAUGACUGAGAAAAGAAGCAAUGCAGCCACACUCUUGCUGACAAGACCUGACUGGGAACGGUAACGGGUGCUCAAAGAGGGGGAGCAUGCUGCUGGUUGUCAUUCCCAGAGAGCUAUUGCCAGGAAGAGGGUGGAAAGGAAAAGAAAAGGUUGUGCUGUUGAGUCGGUGUCGACGCCUGGCAACCACACAGCCCUGUGGUUUUCUUGGUAGAAUACAGGAGGGGUUCACCAUUGCCUUCUCCCACAUAGUAUGAGCUGAUGCCUUUCAGCACCUUCCUAUAUCACUGCUGCCCGAUAUACGAGUUUCCCAUAUUCUGGUAAACACGCCAACAGGGAUUUGAACUGACAGCCUCUUGCUCCCUUGGCAAGUUGCCUCCUCACUGCAGUGGGGUGGAUGGGUUGUUUUUAUUUUCACCCAAGUGAGAGAGAGAAAAACUGAACCACCUGCGCUUGCCUAGUUAGCAGGGCAACUGAGCACUCUUGUAUCAUGCUGCAGCUCUAAGUUUUCCUUUUUAAAAGUUGUGGUUCAUCCACAAAUACAUAAUCUGAGCAGUGAGCCCAUUUUAUAAUUGCCCAAUUAUGAUCAAUAAUAAAAUAAACUCAUUAUAAUAAUAAACUUGAUUUGUUAAGCCACUGCAUAACAAGUUUUCAAACAACCUUUCCGUAGGUAUUGAGCAGAGGAGAAACAUAAGCCCUCUUGAGAUGUUAUGAGUGCCAGCUGUGCUCACUCUUACAACUGCAAAAGUGGGGAGGAAGUGUGACCUGCACUAUCAUUUACUCCCUCCAGCCAACAUGUUCACACUUAUGGCCCCUGGAUUACCUGAGGUUGCAGUUCAUGGAAGCACUGGCCAUCACACUUACAGUGUCUCCACCGGCAGACAAAUGGAGCUCUAAGCAUGUAUGGGCUGGCUGGAGGGGGUGAAAGACAGCACGGGGUAGCACCUCCUCCCUGUUUUUGCAGUUGUGUGAGUGUGGCUGGUUCUUCCAGGUGAUAGUCAUCCUGUUUGCAGGCUAAAGGGCUGUGCAGAAGGCUGGUUGGUUGACUGUUGUGACAAUCACAAAGCCACUACCACCCUCUUCCCCCCUUCCCUAGAGUAGUUUUCAAGUUUUAAAAUAAUGAAGUUUAAAGGAGAGGAGAGCUGGUCUUGUGGUAGCAAGCAUGACUUGGCCCCUUAGCUAAGCAGGGUCUGCCCUGGUUGCAUCUGAAUGGGAGACUUGAUGUGUGAGCAUUGCAAGAUAUUCCCCUCAGAGGAUGGAGCCGCUCUGGGAAGAGCAGAAGGUUUCAAGUUCCCUCCCUGGCUUCUCCAAGAUAGGACAAGAUUUUUUUUUUUAUAGGACAAGAUUUUUGUUAUUGAACCAACAAACUACCAAAGCAUACAGUACGUUGCCAAAGCACAAUUAUAUACAAAGUGGUUGUUUCUACAUGAUAUAUCUACAAAGAUUUACACACAAGGAUUUGGAAACCCACAAGGUUAUGAAGUAUAUGCAGGUACUGAGAGAGAUUCCUGCCUGCAACCUUGGAGAAACCGCUGCCAGUCUGUGAAGACAAUACUGAGCUAGAUAGACCAAUGGUCUGACUCAGUAUAUGGCAGUUUCCUAUGUUCCUAAAAACAUAUAGCAAUAUUAAGCAGGCUAGUUAAAGUAUGUGUUAAUACUUUACAACAAAUUAACCAGUAAAGGGCAACUCCCACUUCCUGCUGAGUUGAAGAAGGGAGAAGCCACAGAGAGCUUUUUUUUUUUAAAGACGCUUAUAUCCCGCUCUUCCUCCAAGGAGCCCAGAGCUGUGUACUACAUACUUAAGUUUCUCCUCACAACCACCCUGUGAAGUAGGUUAGGCUGAGAGAGAAGUGACUGGCCCAGAGUCAGCCAGCAAGUCUCAUGGCUGAAUGGGGAUUUGAACUCGCGUGUCCCCGGUCCUAGUCCAGCCUUCUUACUUUAAAUAAAAUAUAAAGUUUGUUUGAAAGAGAGAGGCUAUUCUCACAAUUGAGAAGAUGGUUUUUCCCCAUUGUGAGAACCACUGGGCUCACAGGAGAGCCUGGUGGUUCUCUGGCGGUUAGCCCGCCAAAGUAGCCCUCCCCUUAAAUGAGGUUAGCAAUCAUGAGUUGCCAGCCACGGCGUGACUCCACACACUACUUCCAACCAGCCCUCCCUUGGUCCCACAACCCCCAAACCCAGCCAGGCUUUGUCUAUGCCCACCAAGGAGCACCACCACACAAUCCACAUCCCCUGUCUCCCCCAACCUGCUACACACAAACCCCAUCUCCCAUUCCUCACUUACAGUUUAAGAAUCACACAGCUCACACUUAAGUGACAUGGGUUUGUGGGGUCCCCCCCCCCAAUUAAAAGUGAUUGCAAUGUAUAUGGCACAAGUGAUUUCUGGUUCUGUGCUUUUAAAUGAAGAAAAUCUAGGAACGCAGCAUGCCUGUUGCCAGGCAGUGAAAUUAUGGGUUAGGUGACAAGUUGCUAGGCAGUAGAUAGAAGGCCGAAAGUUCAUUCUGGAUAACAGCCAGCAAGAGAUGCAGCUGAUGCUGUUCUGACCUGCUCUGAGCCUCCCUCUCUUUUGUUGUGGGAGGAGCUUCAACAUGAACCCUAAGUUACAGCAGGUGUCAAAUUCAAAUGACUGGGGCCCAGUGCUGAACGAAUGAGUGAAUGAAGGGGCCAGUGGACCUGCAGUGUCAACAACUUAACCAGCUUCAAACUCAGAGUGGAACCAUGGUUGGGAAGAGAUCCUGUAUUCAGAUUUCACUGACCCAGAAAAUGUGCACAAACUUUAGAGAAAGAGAGAGAGACAAACAAACAAACAAACAAACAGAAAUAAAAAUUACUACUGUAAUCAACCUGGAUGAAUUCCACCAGCUCAGGAUCUGACUUGUGAGUUAGUAUCCAGAAACCUAGCUUCCCCACCCCCACCAAUAUUUGUAUCUUCUUCAAUUAGACAGCCAGCCAACACAUCAGCUAUCAGAAUUCUUCUCUGUAUCAUUAUCUAGUCACUUCCAAACACCAGAUAGCUUUUUAAAAGAGCCAAACGUGAGAUUGCUGGUUGGUUUUUCUCAGUACUCCUCUAUAGUAGGCUGCAUGCUGAGUGCACAAACUGCAGGCUUGUCUCACUGUUGACAAGAGAUGCUGAAAGAUUUCUGGAAGAGCUAUCCUCCUCAGGCUGAGAGACUAAGGGAGGAGAUGAAAGAAAUGGAAAACAAACUGACUUCAGAUCUGAAAUUCUGUGCUGACUGUCUUUUAUAAUAGUUGAAACAGACUUCAGAGAACAUUUUUCCUGCCCCUUUUCUGCUUCUGUGUAGUAGUCACUGAAAAAAACCCAAGAUUUCCAUCAUCUCUUUGCUCUAGGCUGGUUGCCGUGUUUCACUGCCAUUUUUCUCUGUAGAGGCAAGUGAUUCUGAAAUAUCUUUUUUGGGUAGUGAUGGAAGAAUGUCCAAGAUGAACUGGGCUCUGAAAGCAUUAAACAGCAGUUGCAAAGGCCAUAGCUGAGUGCUGCUUCUGUUUAGAGUCACCUGAUCCAUCUGAGUCGCUACCACCUCAAGUGAAAUUUAAGGGAAUUUGGAGAUUUCCCCUUGUGUGAAAAAUCUGAGGAAUUUUGAAGGAAGCAAAAUGUCUUCAAUUGCUCAGGGCUGGUUUCUUCCUACAAGUAAGAGACACACAGAAAACAUGAUGAAGCCAAGGCUUUGUUAGACAGUUUGCAUAGGCAUGAGUGUUAUCAUCCUCUAAGAACAGCCCUGCUGGAUCAGGCCCAAGGCCCAUCUAGUCCACUGUCCUGUUUCACACAGUGGCCCACCAGAUGCCUCUGGGAAGCACAAAGACAAGAGCUGAGGGCAUGCCCUCUCUCCUACUGUUAGUCCCCUGCAACGGGUAUCAACUCUACUUGUUACUGUGACAACAAAAUGGAGGUUUGUUUUGUUUUAGAAUUACAAUUAGGAAAAAAAAUCUUCUUUGUACAUAUGUUUGUGGUAAGGUAUAAAAUUAUACUGGAGGUUUUGUAUUGAAUGUAAUAGAGGCAGCAAAAGAACUGUGGUGAUUGGGUGGUGGGAAUUCCGUAUGCAGAUCCAUCUCACCCUGAAAGUCUGUGACAGUUAAGAUCAGUUGGAAGGUAACUGUUACUGGUUGGAAGAUGUGCUUGAUUGUAUCUGUAUAAAUCUUGAUUGAUCUGUAUAACGGAGAAAAGUGCCAUAUUUAUUGCAAACAAGAAAUUUAUUAAUUUAUUUCUUGGUUGCUGGGCUGCUUGAGGGCUCAGGGUGAGGGCUGAAAGUUUCCUCAAGUGAUGACUGAGUAUCCAGCGAUAAAUGUCUCAAAACCUCAAGAUGAGCCAUCACAGUUACUAGUCCAGCACCACUAUUCUGUGGGGAGCCUGAGGGCUGUAAAGGAAGUGUCCAUACACUAGGCAAAGUUGAGAAGAGCUGAGGCUGCAGAUGCUGGUACUCAGUUUCACCGAAAAAGAAAGUCCAAGGAGAAAUUGGCAGUUGCUGUUUGGGAGAAACAUCUAGGGCAUUUCAAAGGAAGCAGGAAGGAGUUGGCUAUGACUUUUCACAGGGCGCAACCGUUCACAGGGAGUUACUGAACUUCCAAGUAUCAGCCAAAGUGAGAGGUGUCUUGUGAUGACUUGAAAAUCUCUGCACAUUGUCGCAGGUGCCAUGUCUGAUUGUCAUAGCCACUCUAGAAGGGAUUCAUUUGCAAUUAAUAUCUGUGUUGGUAGAAACAGAAAUUGACGGGAUUUUGGUUAACAUAUAUUUAGAAAAACAUAAUGAGGCUGUUCUCACGCCCUACUAGCCUAACCUAGCCCUGCUUUGUAGCCCAGCUGUUAGCUGAGGAUAAGGGAGUGAGCGCUCCCUUAACCUGGGCUACGGGAUCGUGUGUUCCUCAGCGGACACAGAUAUGGGUGCCUAGAGCUCCCGGCUCCUGGGGGGAUCCCCCAAUGCAUCAUGUCACAUGGUGCAUUGUGGGCUGGGGUGCAUUUUCAUGGCCUCUGGAGUUCUGCACUGCACACACACACUGCAGAUUGUCUGGGAUCAUGGUCUGCACUCCAGGCAACAUGGAAUGGGUCUUCUGUGGGGAAGGUGAGUUUAACCAGCUUUCCCCCCACCUACCCGCCACCCUGCUUGCCCGGUUGUAUGAAUGACCUAAGUGUGUAAGGUCUAUAUUAUCUUGCCUCACCAGCUUUGGAAAGGUCUCCUCCCUCUCCUCUAUAGCAGUAAUUUGUGGCCUCUGAUGGGAAGCAUUUUUUACCCUUUCUAACUGAGAAGGGCAUUGCUUUUGUUGGCAAAAACUUCAUAUAGCAUGCUGAAUUUAUUAAAAUUGGUGAACAAGAGAGGUGGUCUUCAGAGUUACAAGAAAAAUACACACACAUUUAACAUAGGAAUAUUAACUGUAUAAGACUGUUUAAAAUAGCACUUAAUUGACUCCUUCCAGUAGAGAGCUAUAGCAUAUGCUACAGCAUUGCAUAAAGAGAGGAUCCUGUCUGGA